This 398-nucleotide ribosomal RNA is filed under the name Mayetiola destructor (Hessian fly). Its description in RNAcentral is "partial 12S ribosomal RNA". The record is from RNAcentral. Lineage: Eukaryota; Metazoa; Arthropoda; Insecta; Diptera; Cecidomyiidae.
AAACUAGGAUUAGAUACCCUUUUAUUUAUUAUUAAAAUUUUUUAUUUAAUAAAUAUUUUUUAAUAAAAAAAUUAAUUAAAAUGGCAGUAUAUUAUAAAAUUAGAGGAUUUUGUUAUAUAAUAGAUAUUACACUUUAAAAUUUAUUUAAUUUUUUUUGUUAUAUAUUGUAUAUUGUUGUAUUAAACUGACAUUUUAAAAAUUAUUAGUAUUUUUUUUAAAAAAAAUAAAUUCAAAUCAACAUACAUACCAUAAUUAAAAUUUAAAUGAAAUACAAUUAAAUUUAUUAAUGAAUAAUAAAUUGUAAAAUUUAUUUAAAAUUGGAUUUAAUAGUAAAAAUUUAAUAAAUUUUUUAUUUGAAUUAAAUUAAUAUAUGUACAUAUUGCCCGUCGUUUUUAAUU